GCCGGGCGUGAUGGCUCAUGCCUGUAAUCCCAGCACUUUGGGAGGCCGAGGUGGGUGGAUCACCUGAGGUCAGGAGUUUGAGACCAGCCUGGCCAACAUGGUGAAACCCCAUCUCUA
Pongo abelii (Sumatran orangutan) is the source of this 117-nucleotide unclassified non-coding RNA. It matches the Rfam family "Metazoan signal recognition particle RNA". Rfam says of the family: The signal recognition particle (SRP) is a universally conserved ribonucleoprotein. It is involved in the co-translational targeting of proteins to membranes. NCBI's taxonomy places the organism in Eukaryota, Metazoa, Chordata, Mammalia, Primates, Hominidae. The record is from Ensembl.